Non-coding RNA from Ciona intestinalis (vase tunicate), 390 nucleotides. Lineage: Eukaryota; Metazoa; Chordata; Ascidiacea; Phlebobranchia; Cionidae. The record is from RefSeq and is a predicted model, not a curated record.
AUUCAAGAAACGUUUUUCUUUCUCUUUGUUGUAAAUAUACGGAAACUAUCCAAGCCAUAAUAGCAAUGCAAUCUGUAUAAAAGGCAUCGAUUUUGGAUUCGAAAUCAUCUUUCGUUUGCAGGGAACAAAAUGAGGAAAUCAUUGCUUCUACUCUUGCUCGUCAUCGGGAUCCUCGUGCUCACCGAGUCUACGGAUGCCUACUUUCGUCGUCGUCGUCGCCGUCGCCGUCGCCGCCGUAACCAUUGGGUUUGGAACGAAAACUCAAACGUUGAAGACAUCAAAUUGGAUGAUGACGUCGCCAAUGAAGAGAUAAUGCUGUAAUCAAGUUUAAAUAAACGAUAAAGCGCGUGUUAAAUAAUGAAAAACUGAAUAAAUUACCUAAUUAACAAA